Molecule: ribosomal RNA, 387 nt
Filed under: Sebastes thompsoni
Lineage: Eukaryota; Metazoa; Chordata; Actinopteri; Perciformes; Sebastidae
Description: partial 12S ribosomal RNA
Rfam family: Bacterial small subunit ribosomal RNA
Source: RNAcentral
GCCUAGCCCUAAACCUUGGUAAUAUAUCACAUACCCUACCCGCCUGGGAACUACGAGCACCAGCUUAAAACCCAAAGGACUUGGCGGUGCUUUAGACCCCCCUAGAGGAGCCUGUUCUAGAACCGAUAACCCCCGUUCAACCUCACCCUCCCUUGUUUAUCCCGCCUAUAUACCGCCGUCGUCAGCUUACCCUGUGAAGGACUAAAAGUAAGCACAACUGGUACAACCCAAAACGUCAGGUCGAGGUGUAGCGCAUGGGAGGGGAAGAAAUGGGCUACAUUCCCUAUAUUAGGGAACACGAACGGCGCACUGAAACACGCGCCUGAAGGAGGAUUUAGUAGUAAGCGGAAAAUAGCGUGUUCCGCUGAAAUCGGCCCUGAAGCGCGC